Molecule: ribosomal RNA, 305 nt
Filed under: uncultured bacterium
Lineage: Bacteria
Description: bacterial SSU rRNA
Rfam family: Bacterial small subunit ribosomal RNA
Source: RNAcentral
UUUUCCUACGGGGGGCAGCAGUGAGGAAUAUUGGUCAAUGGGCGCGAGCCUGAACCAGCCAAGUCGCGUGGGGGAAGACGGUCCUAUGGAUUGUAAACCUCUUUUGUCGGGGAGCAAAAGACGCCACGCGUGGCGUUCCGAGCGUACCCGAAGACAAAGCAUCGGCUAACUCCGUGCCAGCAGCCGCGGUAAUACGGAGGAUGCGAACGUUAUCCGGAUUUAUUGGGUUUAAAGGGAGCGCAGGCGGAAGGUCAAGUCAGCGGUAAAAUUGCGAGGCUCAAACUCUUCGAGCCGUUGAAACUGGG